RNAcentral lists this ribosomal RNA (378 nucleotides) under Zyzygomyces physciacearum. RNAcentral describes it as "partial large subunit ribosomal RNA". It matches the Rfam family "Eukaryotic large subunit ribosomal RNA", at positions 1 to 373 of the family's 3401-position model. The record is from RNAcentral. Lineage: Eukaryota; Fungi; Basidiomycota; Tremellomycetes; Filobasidiales; Filobasidiaceae.
GGCCUCAAAUCAGGUAGGACUACCCGCUGAACUUAAGCAUAUCAAUAAGCGGAGGAAAAGAAACUAACAAGGAUUCCCCUAGUAACGGCGAGUGAAGCGGGAAGAGCUCAAAUUUGAAAUCUGGUGGACUUUGUUCAUCCGAGUUGUAAUCUAGAGAAGUGUUUUCCGUGCUGGCCAAUGUACAAGUCCCUUGGAACAGGGCGUCAUAGAGGGUGAGAAUCCCGUACUUGACAUUGAUCACCGGUGCUCUGUGAUACACUUUCAAAGAGUCGAGUUGUUUGGGAUGCAGCUCAAAAUGGGUGGUAAAUUCCAUCUAAAGCUAAAUAUUGGCGAGAGACCGAUAGCGAACAAAUACCGUGAGGGGAAAGAUGAAAAGCA